CCUACGGGAGGCAGCAGUGAGGAAUAUUGGUCAAUGGCCGCAGGGCUGAACCAGCCAAGUCGCGUGAGGGAUGACGGUCCUAUGGAUUGUAAACCUCUUUUGUCAGGGAGCAAAGGGCGCCACGUGUGGCGUUCUGCGAGUACCUGAAGAAAAAGCAUCGGCUAACUCCGUGCCAGCAGCCGCGGUAAUACGGAGGAUGCGAGCGUUAUCCGGAUUUAUUGGGUUUAAAGGGUGCGCAGGCGGAAUGUAAAGUCAGCGGUAAAAUUUCGGGGCUCAACCCCGACGUGCCGUUGAAACUGGCGGUCUUGAGUGAGGGAGAAGUAGGCGGAAUGCGUGGUGUAGCGGUGAAAUGCAUAGAUAUCACGCAGAACUCCGAUUGCGAAGGCAGCAUACCGGCGCUCAACUGACGCUCAUGCACGAAAGCGUGGGGAGCGAACAGGAUUAGAUACCCUAGUAGUC
This 459-nucleotide ribosomal RNA is filed under the name uncultured bacterium. RNAcentral's name for it is "partial 16S ribosomal RNA". It matches the Rfam family "Bacterial small subunit ribosomal RNA", at positions 338 to 795 of the family's 1533-position model. The record is from RNAcentral.